This 21-nucleotide unclassified non-coding RNA is filed under the name Mus musculus (house mouse). RNAcentral describes it as "oocyte_clustered_small_RNA2291". The record is from RNAcentral. Lineage: Eukaryota; Metazoa; Chordata; Mammalia; Rodentia; Muridae.
AUUUCCAUGCCUGCAGUCUCU